RNAcentral lists this ribosomal RNA (408 nucleotides) under Dermacentor silvarum. Its description in RNAcentral is "partial 12S ribosomal RNA". Lineage: Eukaryota; Metazoa; Arthropoda; Arachnida; Ixodida; Ixodidae. The record is from RNAcentral.
AAACUAGGAUUAGAUACCCUAUUAUUAGGGAGCUUGACAUUGUAAGUAUAUAAAUAUUAUGGAAGGCAAAAAAUUAUGGCGGUAUCUUAAGCUUUUCAGAGGAAUUUGCUCUAUAAUGGAUAAAACACCUUAAUCUUACUUUAAUUGGUAAAAGACAGUUUGUAUACCACUAUUAAAAUAAUAAUAUACAAUUAUUAUUGAAGUAUAUUAUUUAUAUAUUUAAAUAAAAUUAAGUCAAGGUGCAGCAAAAAUUAAAGUAUGAAGUGAAUUACAGUCCUUUUUAGGUAAAAGAAAUGAAAAAAAGUUUAGGAUUUGAAAGUAAAAUUAAAAUAGAAAGUUAAUUUGAAUUAAGCUCUAGGAUAUGUACAUAUCGCCCGUCACUCUUUUUUAAGAUAAGUCGUAACAAAG